GCUCUGCUCAGCGACCUUGCAACUCCUGCACACAGAUAAACCCCGCCAAGCUUGUCACCUCCAGCAAAGCCAGACCACAUGUACCAGACUUGAUGGGGACAGCUGUGGGAGAAAUCAUCGCUCUAAGAACGCUGGAGGGCCCUGGCAUCUCUGGAGUAAAUCUGGGAACCUCCAGGCUGAAGAACAGUGCAGAAAUCACAGCGCAGGACCAUCCUUCUAAUGGUUUUUUCACCGAAGAGCAUAGCAUUUAUUGAGCCCCUGGUGUGAAGCCCUUGGGUUUGAUGGCACGAGUGAUUCUAACAGAAGAAAAACAAAAUACCAGAAUGGCUUCUCUUCUGCCCUAAAGAUAACUCGGACUCAGCCCCUGUCCUCCGAAGCUUACCAUCCAGCUACAGAGAAAAGACUUGCAUUGGGCUCUUUUAAAGAAUAAGGCAGGAUAGUCUGGCACUAUGGGAUAGUCUCUAAUCCUAGCGACUCAAGAGGCUGAGAAAGGAAGAUCACAAUUUCCAGGCCAGCCUCAGCAACUUAGAGAGGCCCUAAGCAGAGACCCUGCCUCAAGAUAAGAAAUAAAAAGGGCUGGGAUGUAACUCAGUGAUAAAGUGUUCCUGGGUUCAAUCCCCAGUACAAAAAAAAAAAAAAAGGCAGGACAGGAUGUGACUAAGUGAAAAAUGUAACUGACAGUUAGUACAAAGCAUUUAGAGAAGUGGCAGCUCAAGGUGCUCUUCAGCUAAGCGGGAGGACUCAUCUCUCUAAUGUAAGUUCUGUUCUGCAAGAAUAAAGUGAAGCAAGUUCACUUCUAAGUUCUUCCACAGGCGACUGUUCCAUCUUAAAUCACACUUUGCAUGAGCAGAAGCUGUUUGGCAGUUCACCAAUGCCUAACUCAGUUUUAUUUGAGUGUGCCUUUAGAUUUGUCAGUCAUUCAACACAUAUUUAUUGCAUAUCAUGUUCAGAUCUGGAACUCGACUGGAUAGAGAGAACACAAUGACUAAAUCUCUCCUUGGGCAGGUCAAGAGGAAGAGGGAAGAGCCCUGUUUUACAGAAAGAAAACUGGCCCAGACAGAAAAGACAAAUACCCUAAGUGAUGAGGUGUGUCUGGCAGUACUGGUCCAAGAAUCAGCCUGCCCUUCAAAGUUGGCAAAGUCUUUGAUGAAUUAGAUCUAAACAGUUUUCUUUUCUUGCUCAGAACCAUAUCAACUUUACUCUGCAAGAAAAUCUAACUUAGGGCUGGAGUUGAAGCUCAAUGGUAGAGCACUUGCCUAGUAUGUGUGAGGCACUGGGUUUGAUUCUCAGGACCGCAUAUAAAAAAAUAAAUACAAUAAAGGUCCAUCAACAACUAAAAUAAAAAAAUUAAGAAUUAAGAAAAGAAAAUCGAACUUAACCAGCUUUUACUCCUGGAGAUGUGAGUUCCAAUCCUGCCUCUGUCAAUAAAUAGCUAUAGUUUUCUUACUAGAAAAUAAAUAAAUAAAUGGAAAUAACUGAGCUUAUUAAAGAGCUAUUGUUGGUAUCAAA
Ictidomys tridecemlineatus (thirteen-lined ground squirrel) is the source of this 1509-nucleotide long non-coding RNA. RefSeq lists it as uncharacterized. The record is from RefSeq and is a predicted model, not a curated record. NCBI's taxonomy places the organism in Eukaryota, Metazoa, Chordata, Mammalia, Rodentia, Sciuridae.